UCCGCGAUAGCUCAGUUGGUAGAGCAGGAGACUGUUAAUCUCUUUGUCAUAGGUUCGAGUCCUAUUCGCGGAG
Molecule: transfer RNA, 73 nt
Organism: Lentisphaera araneosa HTCC2155
Lineage: Bacteria; Pseudomonadati; Lentisphaerota; Lentisphaeria; Lentisphaerales; Lentisphaeraceae
Rfam family: tRNA
About the family: Transfer RNA (tRNA) molecules are approximately 80 nucleotides in length. Their secondary structure includes four short double-helical elements and three loops (D, anti-codon, and T loops). Further hydrogen bonds mediate the characteristic L-shaped molecular structure. tRNAs have two regions of fundamental functional importance: the anti-codon, which is responsible for specific mRNA codon recognition, and the 3' end, to which the tRNAs corresponding amino acid is attached (by aminoacyl-tRNA synthetases). tRNAs cope with the degeneracy of the genetic code in two manners: having more than one tRNA (with a specific anti-codon) for a particular amino acid; and 'wobble' base-pairing, i.e. permitting non-standard base-pairing at the 3rd anti-codon position.
Source: Rfam